Molecule: ribosomal RNA, 460 nt
Filed under: uncultured bacterium
Lineage: Bacteria
Description: partial 16S ribosomal RNA
Rfam family: Bacterial small subunit ribosomal RNA
Source: RNAcentral
CCUACGGGCGGCAGCAGUGAGGAAUAUUGGUCAAUGGACGCAAGUCUGAACCAGCCAUGCCGCGUGCAGGAAGACGGCUCUAUGAGUUGUAAACUGCUUUUGUACGAGGGUAAACGCAGAUACGCGUAUCUGUCUGAAAGUAUCGUACGAAUAAGGAUCGGCUAACUCCGUGCCAGCAGUCGCGGUAAUACGGAGGAUUCAAGCGUUAUCCGGAUUUAGUGGGUUUAAAGGGUGCGUAGGGGGUCGGAUAAGUUAGAGGUGAAAUCCCGAGGCUCAACGUCGGAAUUGCCUCUGAUACUGUUCGGCUAGAGAGUAGUUGCGGUAGGCGGAAUGUAUGGUGUAGCGGUGAAAUGCUUAGAGAUCAUACAGAACACCGAUUGCGAAGGCAGCUUACCAAGCUACUUCUGACGUUGAGGCACGAAAGCGUGGGGAGCAAACAGGAUUAGAUACCCCAGUAGUC